CCGCGUCCUAGCUAAGAAACUCCUAGAAAUUAGAAUACUGACAAAUAAUAUUUUGUGUCAAAUUGUAGCUUUGGAAGUCAUUUUACAUAAUAAGAUAUUAGACUUGCUCCUAGUCACCAGUUUAGCUGCACUCUCCUUCCAUGCAAUGAGCCUCAUCUGCUAGCCUAUAUCAUCAUUUAUCUCCAUCUCUGUACAUGGUCCAGUCAAUAUUUAUGGCCUUUGAGUUUUUUCCUUUAAAGUUGUAAGAGUUAUCAUUUCACACCUUAGUGUGAUUUCUUUGGGGGGCAUUUAAGAGUAAAGUUGGAAGCCAUACACAGCAUAAGGAAUAUAAGAAACAAGAUAAGAGCAAGUAGAGUGCAGAAGAAGGAGAGAGCUCAAAAGUUGGUGCUGAAACAGGGAAACUCAUUGCCUUGGUUUUUCUUUAAUCAGGUACUUGCUCGAUAUCCCAGCUUUUUUAACUCUAUCACAUGAAGCAUAAAGCAUAAUGUAUGAGUUACAGAGUCUAGCAUAUAUAAUUUAGAAACUGUAAUUAAACAUUGUUUUGGACCGGGCAACAUGAAUAUUGUUUGGGAUAAUGUUGUUUAUAUUUUGUAAAGCUUCGUGGUGAUUAAGGAGGUACAUUAUUUUCUGCAUUAUCAAAUAAUGUUUUCUUGUUAGUUCUAGAGUUGAGUUGUUUUUAUUUUUGUUUAUAUUUUAAGAAAUAUUUGUAACAUGUGAUAUGAAAAUAUCCUGCAAAUUGUGCCAAUGAGUACAAGAGAAUCCCAGCCGGGUUGCCACAUAGAAAUGCGUGAUACGAAACUGUUCUCUCUUUUUAUCCAUUGGAGCACAGCAAAGGGCGGGCAAAGCUGGGCCAUGUCUGGACGGUGACUCUUUC
RNAcentral lists this long non-coding RNA (874 nucleotides) under Daucus carota (carrot). RNAcentral's name for it is "long non-coding RNA (DCAR_LNC007003)". The record is from RNAcentral. Lineage: Eukaryota; Viridiplantae; Streptophyta; Magnoliopsida; Apiales; Apiaceae.